This 312-nucleotide ribosomal RNA is filed under the name uncultured bacterium. RNAcentral's name for it is "bacterial SSU rRNA". It matches the Rfam family "Bacterial small subunit ribosomal RNA", at positions 30 to 348 of the family's 1533-position model. The record is from RNAcentral.
CCUGAACGCUGGCGGCGUGGCUAAGACAUGCAAGUCGCACAGGGCCCGCAAGGGUCCAGUGGCGGACGGGUGAGUAAUGAAUCGCUAAUGUACCCCGAUGUCUGGGAUAGCUGCCCGAAAGGGCAGGUAAUACCAGAUGAGACCACAGGCAGGCAUCUGCUGGUGCUCAAAGGGUCACCGCAUUGGGAGCAGGCGAUUUCGUAUCAGCAGUUGGUGAGGUAACGGCUCACCAAGGCGACGACGCGUAGCCGGGCUGAGGAGGUCGGCCGGCCACAUUGGGACUGAGACACUGCCCAGACUCCGUACGGGGGG